GCCUGAUCAUCGGCUAUGAUCUUACUGGUCGGGCCCACUUGAUGUCAAAGUGGGCAAUAGUGGCCCCUUACCUAAAAUGAGUUUGACACCCCUACCUCUUCCAUUCCAACCAAGAAUAAUUAAACUUUCUGUGAUGACCGACCACAAACCAAACAUUAAGAGGGAAGUGCAGAUAUACAUUUCUGCUUCUAGAAUUAUAUGUUUGUUUUUGAUGUAACAGAAAUGUUUAGCUUCCAGAUAAUAAAGCAUUUUCACUUUCACAACAAUCCAGGAAGGAAUCCAUAACAUAAAGAAUCAUUUAGAUUAUGUUAUUGAUAUGGUACUUUUCCAGUCCAGGCAACCACUCAAUCAAUUUACACACACAAGCCGGCAUUCACCACACCCUAAUGUGACUCCAGUUUCAAACACUUUCUGACUCAAAUGCAUUCAGUUGAACUGGGCCUUCUGUAAAUAUUUAGUUUGUCAGUUACAGGUAGAUGACUGGAUUGCCCCCCCACCCACCCACACACUGCUCUCUGUAACACUUCUGCCCACCAUGAAUCAAACACACAGCCUAUUCACAGGGGAGCCAUCAUGGGGAAUACAUAGCAGCUCCUGGGUUACUUUGUAUUGUAAUAGAUGCAUUGUGCCGGUAAAGAAUAUCCCAGCCUGUAUUCAUGCAGAAUGAACAAAAAAGGGAACAGAAGAAAGGGUCUGGUGCAGAUUCAGGGGAAACUAGUGUAAUUAGAAAGAGAUGGGAUUGGGGGAGGUUCAAUCGCUCCAGAUGUGAAAUCUAAUUUCUAUAUAAUGUCAUUUAAAUCCUGUGAUCCAGAAAUUGUAUUUGAACUGGGAUUAUCGGAAUCAUCAGACUGUGAAUGCCUAAGAUCCCAGCCACUGUUUGUGGGUGUACAAAGGUGUGUAUAUGGAGGAUAGGGAUGGGGGGGGCAGGGGUUUAGUGUUCCACAAGUUCACAAGUUGCAAGCUUUUUUGGGAUGAUUAUAGAGGCGAAAAGAAAAAAUGGAUUCCAUUUAAAGUGGAAUGAAAAGGCAGAGCAGGAAGGAUAAAUGAAGGAUUUGAAGACAUCACAGAGAGACAAAAUAAAGGAACUUAUUUAGGUAGAGAUCUUUUAUCUUUUUAUAAACAAGUUUGGAAAAAUAAAUCAAGUAAAAAAUGAUUUUUUGUUAUUUUGUUUGCAGUGUUAUUGUACACAGUGUAGUGUGAUGUUGAAAAUAGAGCUGCUUACUUGGACGGGGGACGUCUUUGGGUGGUGGAAAGAACCCCUUUUACCAACUUCUAAACCUGGCCAACAUCAACAACAGGCAGCGCCUGAAGAGGUGGGGGCUGGAAGGGGGUAGGUAUGGAGGGACAUCCAGUCUCUAUAUGACAGUAGUAGGAGUUGUGUUCAAAUUCUCCGCAAUAAGUUCCAUGUUCCCGGCAGGCAUACUCUUCAUCAACUGUCCUGUUUGUUCUGUUGAAAGGAGUCAGUUUGAGCAUGCCAAAUGGCCUGGUAAUGCCUCUGGAUCCCCCAGAAUGAGCUGGAAAAUGUUGGUGUGGUUGAGAGGGUCUGGUUCAAGUCUGGUUCAAACUGUCAGGCCCACUGCCACCGAAAACCAACCCCUGAUAAAAGUAGGAAAAUGGAUGGGUGGAUAGAAAAUACAUUCCCUUGGACGAUACUCUGAAACACCACACAACUUUAUUGAUUCUUCCCAGAGCAAAUAUAAAGUUUAACUUGUAAAAUACAUAUUACUAAAGUCAAAUGAUCGCACAAUAACCAAAUAUAUAUAUUUACGUGAAUUACAGGUGGCCUAUGGUUGAAGUAGUGAUGUUUUUUCUCUCUAAAUGGUGUCUAUAAGUCAUUUGUUAAGUAACUUUAAGCAACCCAUAUGGGGAGGUCUAGGUAUUUAUCAAUCCUCUUUCAUUACAGUGAAGAAAGAAUUUAGUCAGAAAAUCAAACAACAGCAAAUCAAAUAGUAAAAGGUGCUGCAGAUGGGGGAUUGAUCAUAAACCAUUGUCAACAUUGUCAUUACUGUCACACAAUAAUAAGUUCUUAUAUCAGACUGCAGUUUACAGAUUUGUUAUUUCUAACCGUUUAAUUGACAAGAUAUUGUUGAGAUCAACAAUUGAGAGCUUGUUUUCCAAGAAAAAUUCAGAUAAACCUACCCGUUCUCAUUCAAAACUUACAUACAGCCACUUGUCUCGUGAAAUUAUACUACGCUAGAUUGUUUUAAAAUUUGAAUUCUCUUCCUGAGGUCUCUUAAAAUUUUAUUUCAGGAGGGGAGAUUUUUUUUUAAAAGCAAGGGUCCAAGGACAGAGGACAUUGGUGUAUAUAUUGCACUCUGAGGCCAAUUCGUGAUAACAGGAUAUACAAACAUAAUUUUAUUGCCACUGAGAGAUGACUUAAAGUAAAAGGUAAGGAGCGGGGGCAGAAAUCAAAAGUAGGUAGAACAGUUUAUAUAACGCAUUAUAUGUUUUGUCAGCAGCAACUUCUUGCUGGUUCAACUAAAGUAGUUAAUAGUGUUUACAUGACGGGAAGGGUUGCUGCAUUUUUUCCUGCCGAUGCUAUCUGUGCCCGUUAUCAGGUGAAGCAAAGUAUGAGAGUAGUGGCUGUGUGUAGCGACUGUGAGCUGAUCAGUGGGGCACGCUCACAUGCACAUGCAUGCGAUAUAAGCAUGCAUGGCUGGUCAGGUCAUAUCAAAAAAUGACUGCCAAAUUUUACAUGGCUAAUAGUUGUCUGCUUAACAACAUUAACAACAAUGGUCAUUGUUAAAUUCAUUUCCUUUAGAAAAUAUGUAUGCACAUAAUGUAUUCACUUCAUAAAAACAAAUCUACUUUUCCUUAGCAGAUUCCCUUUCUAUUCCAUUUAGGAGAUGACAACAAAUGUAUCUGCUUCACCCAGCUGCAAAGGAGGAAUGAUCUGUAACACUGAAAAAUUACCUUUUCAUAGUUUUAUGAACCCGUAAGAUUUCCGUUUUAAACGAACACACUAGCAAGCAUGCAGCACAUGUUUUACAAAGUGACUGUCUCCAGUCUUGUCUGUACAAUGUAAGUCCUAGCAUGCUGAGCUGUCAACAAAACCCAAUAAUCUCUCUAAGGAACCUACAGGUGUGCUGCAUUGUCUUUCCUCUGUGACAGCCCUGAAAAGAGAACAUGCUACUCACGGUGGCAAGCCUGAUUGUAGUGGCGUUAUCGACUAGCUCCUUAGUGUAAUUCACAGAUACAGAGCGGCAGAGACAAACACAGGUAAGAACACUUGAAAUCUUUUAUCUCCACUGUGCAGCCGACAGCAGGGUAAGGGUUCUUCUUUCCCUCCAAAACAGCCAAAACACAGCAUACCCCCAGGGAUGCCGCUGUUGUGUGCUUCUUACUAGUCCAAAAUAAUCCUUUAAACAGUCAGUUAUUGUAAGCGUAUGUCUGUUGAGAAGAAUAUAUAAGGGAAUUCUGGAACAAACUUUUAAGGAGAUCUAAAUCAAGUCGGUAAAGGGAACAAAUGCAGAUUACAAGGGACACAAGUGCAGAUUAAAGACUUCUGGGUGCAAAGAAAUGUAAGUCUUUUUAUGUGCCUUUAAACAUCAAGCUAAUAAUAAAAAGGUGGUCAGAGGAUGACAUUGCAAAGAUUCAGAUUAAAAAAAAAAUAUAUAUAUAUACAGACUACAUUCUCCGGUUUCUCAGUUAUAAUGUGCACAAUGAGCUCUUCGCUGGAUUUUUUUGGAAGCAUUAGAGUCCUGGCAACAAUUAGCAACAGACCACUUAAUAAUACUCUAAACACAACUUAACUGUGGUAAUAUAAGUAAAAUAAAAAUACUAUACAAAGAUAAAAAAUAUAUUGUGCGUACGUAGUGGUGUACAACUUUUUCAGUCCGUCGAAAAUAAAUGCUAUACUGGGUGACAACCAAAUAGCAACAGCAGAUCACCCUCAUUCUAGUGGUGUAUGUUUUAUGUCUCUCAGACAACGCCUGCCGGAGUUAUUGCGAAAUAACCACCAAACCAUCGCAUCAAAAAUAAAUUCUCCAAGCGAACAUAGAAAUCGAAGCACAGCCGGUUAAAUUACAUUACAUUACAUGUCAUUUAGCAGACGCUUUUAUCCAAAGCGACUCACAUUGCACUUUUUUUUUUUACAUUUGGCCCAGGGAGCAAUUAGGGGUUAGGUGUCUUGCUCAGGGACACUUCGACUUGAGACAUGGGGCAGCCGGGACUCAAACCUCCAACCUUGCGCUUCCCAGCACUUCCCAGCGCUUCCCAGCACUCCCGCUCUACCCCCUGCGCCACGACGCCCCGUAACAACAAUCAAUCAUUGUUGGGAAAAUUGCAAAUCAUGUCAUGUCAAGAAGGGGGGUUUAGACAAAACAAGACUAUGUCUGUAUCGUUUGUACAAUAAGUUGGGUGUAUGACAUGUCAGCUGAGGUAAGAUGACCCCUCCGCUCAGGGUAUGAAAUCUAUGUGACGUGUAUGUCCGGUAUCCAGAAGGCCACUCCGUGUCUCAUGAUGAUCAGAUGACUCAGGAUAAAGAACCUGUCCUUAUACAAUAAGAUCAUUGUGCGUGCGCACAUUUAUUUUACCAUACAUAUUUAGUUUAUCAUCAAAGCCAAGAGGGGUUUAAGGCCACCAUGACCGCACAUGUGGGACUCUUAAGCUCCCACGCACAGACAACCGGCUGCUGGAUCGGAGGCGGCAGCGCGGGUCCAGGUUGACCGCAAUUGCACCUGGUUCUUCAGCAGAUCUCUGGCACGCUGCAUCACGUGGGCCUGAGCAAGGUUCACGACCUCCCGCCGGAGGAGUGGAGGAGCCCAUGCAGAUUGGAAGGGCCCGACAAUGAGUAAGCCUGUUAAAGCAAGUGCACUUAAUGGAAGCGCAUUGUUCACCAUAACCCAUGUUACGGAACAAGUAGAACUUUGCACCGCCGACCAUUGGGAGCGCAUAAGGCUGUGCCUCAUACACUCACCUCUGCACCAUCUCAUCCUCGGGCUUCCGUGGCUAAUUCGCCACAACCCACACAUAGACUGGCGCACCGGGGAAAUUAUGGCGUGGGUGGACGGUUGUAGGAACCAAUGUCGGGAAUCACAGCCCCAAGAGCAGAACCCUACUGUUAAGUGUUUUUACUCACUCUGGCACACUCAGAAACCACCGAUCUGACCAAGGUGCCAAGCUGCUACCAUCAUCUCGCGGAGGUUUUUAGUAAAAGCAAGGCCACAGUCCUACCACCUCAUCGCACAUUUGACUGCGCCAUUGAUCUCCUGCCCGGCUCCACCAUCUUGAAGGGCCGUCUUUAUUCGGUUUCUGGGCCUGAGAGGCAGGCCAUGAAAGACUAUAUAGAGUCGUCUCUAAGGGGAGGUUUGAUCCGACCUUCUUCAUCCCCAGCAGGGGCUGGUUUCUUCUUUGUGGGGAAAAAUGAUGGAACCCUUCGCCCCUGCGUCGACUAUAGUCCGCUGUGGUGGCGGGCGUGGUUUGGCUCGGCUGCAGAGGGGACGGAGAAGGGAGUGGUUUGGGGAACGGUGCCGGGGGAGGGAUAAUCAGCCUCAGCUGAGAUAAAUCAUUGUUUGUGUUCCUCCUUUAAGUAGGAGAGAUCUGGCGACAGCGAGAGAGCUGAGCGAGGCGAGGAAGCUGAAGCCAGUCGCAAAAAAAAAAACGAUAAAAUAAAGACUGUUCACUAAAACCCUCAGCCGCAUCCUCAUUAUUCCGGGACCCCCACAGACCCACCCGUUACAGUGGCACCCAACGUGACUGGGGGAUGGAAGCGGCGGACGACGACGACCACCAGCAGGGGAUGGCGGCCCAGCCUGUUGUGGUACUCGGCCAGAUGAUCGGGAACCUGGCGGCCCGCAGAGGGAGCGGAAGAGUUCGCCGGCGUCAGCCCGACCAGGAGCUGCGCCACGGUGAGAGAGGCUGCCGCGGACAGAGGAGCAACCCGUACUGGCUCCGCGGCAGGCACCGUUUUCCCCAGCCCGCAACCCACCGGCCCCGGGGAUCCCAGGCACCCUUCCCAACCGACAGAGAGGUUCUCAAGCGCCGGGGCAGAAGUGUUGGAGGUGCGGGCGGCUCGGUCACCUCCAGAGAGAGUGCCUGCUGAUGGAGGUGGGACAGGUGAUCUGACAGGUGGGACAGGUGACCCUCUCCCGGUCCGGGAGCGACGUACCGCGUUCCGGUAAGAAUCCAGGGGGGUACACGCCAGGCGAUGGUAGAUUCGGGCUGCACGCAGUCUACGAUUCACCAGAGCCUGGUUCGGCCGGGAGCAUUGGUGGCAGACCGGGUGAGAAUACGGUGUGUGCAUGGGGAUGUUCACGAGAUUUGCGGGGAAAAAGCAUAGAAUGAAGGUUGCGGUUAGCUCCCGCCUGACGCACCCCGUCAUUUUAAGUACAGAUUGCCUGGGGUUUGAUAAGUUAAUGGGGGGCUGCGGGGUGCGUUUACGACCGACAAGGUUAUGCGAGAUGUGUGCUGUGCUCAGCGGUGACGCGGGGUUGUCCGACACUGCAGAUGGGGAGGGGGGACCCGCGGAGCCUCCCGUAGAGACUCCGCCGGCUCCCGAGUUUCGCUCCAUGGAAGACUUUCCACUCGAACAGUCUCGUAACGAUACCCUACGCUCAGCCUACGACCAAGUGAUACGAAUUGAUGGUCACCUGGUGCGCCCUGACGCAGCGCAGUCAUUUACGCACUUUUCAUUGAUUAGGGACUGACUGUAUAGAGUGAGUCUGACGGGGCAGGAAAACACUCAGUUGCUGGUGCCGAAAAGCCGCCGGGAAAUGAUUUUCCAGGCAGCUCACUAUAACUCGAUGGCUGGUCACAUGGGAUACGAGAAAACGCUAGACCGGAUAAUGACCCGAUUUUAUUGGCCUGACAAUCCGGACAGGACACACACCGGUGGCGCACGUCCUGCCCGGAUUGUCAGUUAGUGAACGCUCCGGCCAUUCCGAGGGCACCGUUGCGUCCUCUGCCGUUGAUGGAGGUUCCGUUCGAGCGGAUCGGUCAAGAACAGAUGUCCCCUUCCCCUCAUGAAUACGGUAUUUGACCAGCUUCAACAGGCACAGAUUUUCACCAAACUGGACUUACGCAACGCUUAUCUGGUUCGCGUUAGGGAGGGGGAUGAGUGGAAAACAGGAUUCAACACGCCAUCCGGACAUCACGAAUAUCUAGUCAUGCCUUUUGGCCUCACCAAUGCCCCAGCAGUGUUUCAAACUAUGAUAAAUGACGUUGAGACUUUUUUGAUCAGUUUGUAUAUGUUUAUAUUGAUGACAUUCUGAUUUAUUCCCCCGACCUAGACACACAUAAGAAUCAUGUUGAACUCGUCCUGCAACGUCUCCUAGACAACGGGUUAUACUUGAAGGCAGAAAAGAGUGAAUUUCAUGCCGAUACUGUCUCCUUCCUGGGCUUUAUCGUAGCUCCUGGAAGGAUUCAGAUGGACCCAGCUAAAGUGAGCGCUGUAGCAGAGUGGCCAACACCUGAUAGCCGCAAAAAAGUGCAGCAAUUCCUCGGUUUUGCAAACUUCUACAGGCGGUUUAUCAGAGACUACAGCGAGACAGCAGCUCCGCUCCAUGCUCACUUCCCAGCAGGAGCCGUUUCACUCGUCCGCGGACGCAGCCUUCCAAGAGCAUAAGCGGCGGUUCACCACAGCACCCAUCCUCACGCUUCCCGAUCACGCUAGCCAGUUCGUGGUGGAGGUGGACGCCUCUAGUGACGGGCUCGGGGUCACGACGACUGACGGCAGCGGAAUGGAACUACGAUGUGGGAGAUUGUGAGCUGCUGGCAGUGAAGGUGGCGCUAGAGGAGUGGCGCCACUGGCUUGAGGGGGCACAGCAUCCGUUUCUGGUUUGGACAGACCACAAGAACCUGCAGUACAUUAAGAAACGUUUAAAUUCCCGUCAAGCCCGCUGGUCUUUGUUUUGUUUUUUUAACCUUUUUGAUUUUUCCCUGUCCUACAGACCGGGGGUCAAUGAGGCGCAGGGGUCGUCGUGGCGCAGGGGUUAGAGAAGGUGUGCUGGGAAGCACAAGGUUGGUGGUUUGAUUCCAGGCUGCCCCAUGUUCCAUGUCGAAGUGUCCCUGAGCAAGACACCGAACCUCUAAUUGCUCCCCGGGCAAAGAUGUGAAAAGCCACGGGUUUAAAGUGUAAUGUAAGUCGCUUUGGAUAAAAGCGUCAGCUAAAUGACCUGUAAUGUAAUGUAAUGUAAUACAAAGCCUGAUCUAUAUCGCCUAUAGAAGCCGAGGUGAAGCUGGCUAACGGUGAGACCCCUCCACCUCGUGGGUGGCCAGACAAUCGUCUUUUUGUCCCUGUUAAUCUGCGCCCACAGGUGAUCCCUGGGCUCACUCGUCUUUGCUCACCUGCCAUCCGGGCGUACGUCAGACCAUGUUCGCCGUCACGCAGAUGUUCUGGUGGCCGCCCAUGGAGGCGGAUGUCCGGGAGUACAUUGAGGCACGCUCCGUCUGCGCCAACUCCUCCAGAACCCGCGCAGUCUUGCUGCAGCCGCUGCCCGACUGGUAAGCAACAAAUACCAGUCCCAAGACUAAUGGGUUUAUACAAGCAGCAAGAGUGCUGCGGACCAGAGAAUAGAAAAAGAAAAAUACUAAAUACGAUGAUGAUAAGUAUCUGAAACUUGCUUGUUCUUAUGUCUAUUCCUAAGACAAAUAGAUACAUGGAGGCCUGUGGACCUGGGACUGUGGAGGGACAAUAUGAGUGGAGUAGAGAGGAGGCCUUCAAAAGACGGGAUGUUGUUGGAUGGAGGAGAGGACUGACAGGUCAUAUAAAAAAUAAAAAAAGGCUGAUGGGGAACAGAAGAGAAAUAAAAAUAAAUAAGUGAUAAAAGAAAAUGUACUUCAAUCAUAGAGGAUGUAAGGUAAUAUUUUUGUGUGAUUCCAGAAUUGAGCAAAUCUGUUAUUUUAACCUCAUGAUGAAUGAAUAAAGAAAAUAAGUUGAUAAAUGGGUUUAUUAAUUGAUUAAAAUGCCACCUUUAGGGUGAGACUAGAAACUAACACCAGCGCACAGAAUAUCUGUCGGUGCAAUUAGGGAUCAAAGAUCUAAAAACAGUUACAACUGAGACAACAAUUGAUGUUAUCAAAGAAUUGUUUAGUAAACCUGUUUCGUCAAAAUGAAAAGCUAUUGGAUUGAUUCAUGAGUGACUGAUGUAAAAGAGUUUAACUCAACAAGAUAUUACUACAAUUUUGGUUUAACUAUAAUAGGUAAUUAAUUAGUUAUACAAAGACUAAAAAGAAAAUUCAUGAAGUAACUCCUCAAUCUGUUUAAGAGAACAAGAAUUGGUGACGUGCACUGAAAUGUUUCUACAGAGAGAGAUAAGAGAUGCACAGGCAUUCUUUAAUACAAAGACGAGAGAAGACUAAACAAAUCUUUGUUGGAACAACAAAGGGUUUUGAGAAACUGACGUGUCACUGAACAGUGGGCAGAUGUGGGGGGGUUGCUGUAUGAGUGCGGUGGGGGCCAACAAGGCAGCCCAAAAGGUUAGUUCUCUUUUGGAGUAACUCAAGCAAUGCUCAAACAGUGUUAAAUAAAAUGAAUGAGUGCAAAUAUUUAUCUCUGCUAUAAUUGGAUUAUGCACUUCACUUAAAUACAAGGGCAUACGCAUUCUCCAUUCAGUUUGGCUUUUAAUUAAGAAUAAGCUCAUAAUUGCUGGGAUGUAAAGAUUUAAAACAAAACAUUUACACAAACAAGCGGAUUGUAGAGGACAUUUUAUGACAUCAACCAACAGAUCUAUAAAAACAUAGAUAAUUGGUAUUACAACUAAAGUAAAAUACAAAAAAAAAAUGCAUUGAUUGUGAAAGAAACAAUUGUGUUUUAAAUUAAACUAAUGCAUUGAUGUCGCCAGCCCUAUUGGUUAGCCUUCUUUUCAACAUCAGACCCCUGGCUACAAUAAGCCCUAAACUACUUAAAAAUACUCCAAACACAACUUUAGUGGGUGGGGUAAGUAGAUAAGUAAAAACAUAAUCCAUGCAAAUUUUUCAGAAACUUUGGACUUGACUGACCAAAAGUGCGAUAUUCUUAUGAGUUAUGCUGAAUUACCAUUGGAGACCAUAAAUAACAUGAGCAGAACGCGCUGAUUACGGUGAUAUAAGUAGGGCUGUGUACAUUAACGCAUUAAUCUAUGCAAUUAAUGUGGCCUAGAUUAAUGCAACAAAAUAUUUAAAGUUAACAUUUGUUUGUUUACUUGCGGUUUACUUAUGAAGUAUCAUUUCGCUCAGACAAACCAUGCCGAACCUCCAGUACAAAACCCAUCAAGCCAUGGAAGCGAAAAAAUCAUAAAUGUGGCUUAUGUUUGUUGUUUUUUACAGAAAUCAUGGAUUUAAUCCGGUGUUUUUUGCAAUGGCUGAUUAAAUGAAGCGUGAGCAAUUCCGUUUGUCUGAUGUGAGGUUGACAGGGAUUGCAUGCCGUAAUUUUCAAGCGGGAGCUGCUGCCUGGAGGAACGCUGUCGUCAAUCCCCCUGGUUUAACGCAUGCGCUCACUCAGAGUACGACCCCCAGUGGACUUUUUAGGAAUAGCAGCUACUUACUGUCUUUGUUAUUUUUAUACGUAGCAAAGUCAUCUGGCGAGCCGCAUUGGACCCCCGGAUCUGUAAGUAUGUUGGACAUACGAGGAAAUUCUUCCUGGUGGGUGGUGGAUUCAUCGAACAAAAGAGAAUAAUGUAAUACUUGUAGCCAAAACUGUCAUGUUGGUUGUGGUGCCAGAACAAAGAGCAGAACACAACAGAAGUUGUUUAACAGUCUCUAUUAGAAAGAACCAGGGGCUGGAAUGUGGUGAGCAGGCUGGAGGAAUGGUCGACAGACUGGAGUAGGCUGGGUCCACAAUCCGGGAAACCCAGAGGCCCAGAGAACCUUAGGCUGAGGCAGACAUAAGGCUUUAACAAGGUGGCAGCAGUUUUAGCCUUUAGUAUUAGCAUUAGUAUUAGUUCCUGUUUUGCGAACUAACGAUCUGCCAAAGAUCAGUGGAGGGCUGGAGAAUAUUAAGCCUGGUCCUUGAUUGAGGAAUGCAUUCCAGCUGGGGUGGUCAAUUAAUGGGAGGAGCACAACAGUGACCAUGACACUACUCUUAGAAGCGUGACACAAUAUUCCUGUUGGAAGUUUGUUCUGGCACAGUUUGCCCCCUUAGACAGAAUUGGAUUCAAGAGACAGGUUGAAGGUUUGGACUUACAAAUUCAGUUGAUUAUGGUUGAUGGGAGAGAAGCAAGUAUGUAUCAGAGCCCACAGAUGUAUCCAAGGUUCCUACACUGGAGAACAGCUUGAAGACAGGAGACCAUCAAUUUUUUCUCCAAUAGAAUCUUAUCAUUAAAGAAGUUCAUAAAGUAAACUGCAACUGAGGUCCAAAGGAAGACCGGGCUAAACAGAGUGGGUACAGAGUUGAAGAAACUUUUUUUCUCUAUUAACGAUGAGUAAUGAGCUGCUCUUGCAUUACAAAGAGCCUUCCUAUAUAAUGUAAGGCUGUCUUGCCAAACUAGAUGGUUCUCAAUUGGUGAAACACCUUAACGGUUGAAGUUUCUGCAAUUUGCUUUAAGUUGCAGGUUUGAGGGUUAUACCAAGGAUCAAACUUCUAGUUACCAUUCUCCUUUGUAGGAGAAUCUGGGAUUCAAACAUAUCUAGCACUCUAAUAGUUGUAUGUUCUUUUUGAGUGCUUGAAUAAAUUGAAUUGAUUGAUUGAAGAAAUAAAUGUUAUUUGAUUUUAAACCAUUAUGGUGCGUUCACACCUAAAGCCAAGUGAAUUAUUUGCGCGAGUAGAUUCCAUGUAAAGUCGAUGCACCAACGCGUCUGGUCUGGUCACUUAGGGCAAAAUAUUCGCCCGACACUGUCUAGUAGUGAUGGGAAGUUCGGAUCAUUUUACCGACUUGGUUCUUUGAAUCUCUUCAGUAAAAUGAACAAAUCUUUUUUCGAGUCAUUCGUUCAUUUCUGGGGGGGUGGUAAGAUAAAUUCCUGCAUUAAAAUGAUGUAUCAUGACAGUCUGGAUGAUUUGAAGUGAUCAUUUAUUUUCACCCUAGCAUUCAACUAUCACGGCAUAACUAUUACGCUGAACUCUAAGUAAAGUACAAAAAAGUUAAAAUAUCGAAACCUGCAAUUAUUACUUGUGAAGGAAUAUCAUUCACGUCUCACUAAACCUAGCCACGCGAAAGUGAACGAGGUAAACAAAUCCUUUGUGUUUCCUCUUCUGAGCGCAGGUCACGUGAAAAAUGAUCCUAAGAUCCGUAUCCGAAGACCCAGUCAAAAUGAACGAAUCAUUUCUGUUUUCUCUACCAGUGCUGAGCCUAUGCAGGUCACGUGAAAAAUGAUCUAAAGAUCUGUAUCCGGCAGAUGAACGAAUCGUUCACCUCCCGACCGUGUCUUCGGGUCAAUGUUUCGUUCAUCUGCCAACCGAGUCUUCGGGUCAAUGAUUCGUUCAUUUUUCACGUGACCUGCAUAGGCUCAGCACUGGUACCACUUGGUUGGCAGAAGGAUCAUUUUCCACGUGACCUGCAUUCAACGAAUCAUUUCUGUUUCCUUGGCUGAGCCUAUGCAAAUCCCGAUGCGUGGCCACGAGAAAAUAAACAACUCUUUUUUUGAGAGGACUCGUUACUCUCGAGUCCUUGUAAGGAUUCGUUCAAAAUGAACGAAUCGUUCAUGAACGACACAUCACUACAGUCUAGCAAAAUCUAAUUAGUGUUGAGAUGCUUCGCUCGUCAUCACCGCCGUCCUGCUGCCACAGCGUGAAUACACGUUAUUAAACGGCCGCUCAAGAUAGUUUGUGUGUAACCGAGAGACGCCGGCACCGAGCCGACACAACGGGUCAUCAGACCGGCUGCUGGUUCGCCUGAAGCAGCGGUGGAAGCCGUAGUCAUCCAGACGUACUUCCCAGAGGAGUCGGUGACAUUCAAGCUGUGUGCGGCGACGGAUGAUGUCAUGAACCCGAACACAACACCGUUUGCAGUGCCGACGUUUGUGUAAUUCACACAACUAAUAAAGAGCAGACAUUGUGGUUAUUUAUUGCCAUGGCCAACUGUCUUUAUGGAGACACGUAAAUGAGAUAAGCCACGCCCCCUUCCAGGCGCGAAUGAAGCGGAAAAAAUGGGACGCGAAAUGAGGUGAAAUAACCCGCGAGUAAACUUGCGUAAGUAAACUUGAGUAAAGAGGGGCGAAAAUUCGCUUCGCUCUUGGUGUGAACGCACCAUUAGCCUUGAGUUGUUGUUACCUAGGCUUUCUGAGGAUGUGGCAAAAGUUGCAAACUAGCAAAGACAAACUUUGUCAAAAAGGUAAUUUGUUAAUCUACACUGAGAAGAUUGAACUAUUUUUACAGUAGGCCUUUUAUUAAAAGACUAACAUUUACAUCUAUUACGUCCCCCUUUUUGUCUGGGCAUAAGGGAGCGCAACCCCGCAAGCCCUGGUGGAGCAGCUACCAAAGGUAUGGGGUCGUAGUGUGAGCGCUAAUCCCCCCCCCCUGCUAUACUACCUCGGGCACGGGUGAGGCACGCUAACCAAAAGUACAGGGAGUGGUCUGCCCAGCUCUUGCCUAGUGAAUUUAGACAGGGAGUCAGCUACGGGUGGUGUAUACCCAUGGGUCUCUUCCCUAACAAAUCCCCCCCCCCUGCAACACAGGAAGAAAAGUAAAUAUAAUAAACAGUAAACAAAAAAUGUAACAUACAUACUAAACCUCUCACCAGCUGCAUCCAAUAAUGAAAAGGGGGAGGAGUCCAGGUAGGUCGUUGUCCAAUCGGCAGUGAACCUUGGGUGAAGGGCAGCCAUCUUGCAUGCAGAGAUCCUGGAGAGACAGGACACAAACCAAAACAAACACCCCCAAAAUGUAACAACAUCUCAUUAACUACAACCAAAAAAACUGAAAACAAGCAGUUCUGUGAUUCACCACCUGUGUAUGAGCCAGAGACAGUUCCCUGCCACUCAGAUGAUUCAGCUGUUAGAUUGUCAGUUGAUCAGGCGAUAGCUGAUCAUUCACAUACACCCAUGUUUUUUGGCUGAUGAAAGCUUGAUGUGUGUAUUUCAUCAAAAUAACAGGUAUGUAGGCAUUUACCUUUUGGAAUUAGUUCAGGAUUAUUAAAAUAACUUUCAGACAAUUCGCUGCAACCAGAAGCCAAACCUUUAAGCAAGAUGAGUCAAAUCCACUGAGGAUUCACAUGUGGGUCUGGAGGUGAACAAAAGGGUAAUGAGGAGUACUAAAUUCGUCUUUCAUUAUGAACUUGCACCUCUCAGCUAUUUCUUUGUAUAUUCUUGUCUCAUGCAUUUUUCUUCACACUUCACUUCCCCUGUCCUAUUCUACCUCGUUACUUCUUUAUCUCCUUUCUUUCUUUUCCUACCCUUUUAUUUUGUCUGUCUCAUUCCAUCUCUCUAUUCACAUAACCUCCGUCUCGUCAUUGUCCCUCACACUCUAGCCCUCCGGAAAAAAGAAAAUGGGAAAACGGCAAAUCCCACAGCCUCUUACGGCACCCGUGUUUACCAACCCAUAAUGCCGUUCUCAAAUUUCUUUAGCUCCCAAUAUCGUUCCUUGUGUGUAUGUACCCCAACUGCACCACCGCCCUCCACCUUUCCUUUAUUGCCCAACAAAGGCAGCAAAUGCUGUAUUUUCAGCGGCAAAACCUCCUGCAAUGUUACCCCCACACCCACCACUGCUGAUUGUUAUAGUGGUAUAUAUACUGAACCAUCAAACUGUUUACUGCUGCAAACCUGGAGACUAAGAGGGGAGACUGCCAAAAGCUAUGCACACAUAAGUUGAGAGAGUGAAAGAGAGACGGCAUCAACACAACCACUGACUCAAGAUUAGGCCUCGCUCCGAGCUGUUAAGGAUUUCAACAUGCACCUUCUUUUAGCUUAAUAAGGGCUGGAGGGGUUAGGUGAGGGUGGCAGCGUGAAAGAAAGCGCAAAAUGAAAAGUGCAUAAUAAUGCAUGUAUUCAUCUUUUAAAGAAGUGCGUGGAAAGUAAUGGAUGUCACCGCUGGGUACAUCAUUGACACCUUGCCAAUGCUGGAUGGAUAAUUGAAGUCUGGGGUUUUUCAAAAGGGAUGCGAAGAGGGGAAAGUUAUAAUACCCAGGUGGAAUGAAAGGAUGUGUUCUGUAUGCCAAAACACUGUGCUUACGGUCUCUUUAGGAGCUGAGCACACACAUUAGACAAUGGUAUUUUGCUGUUUUUUUCCCGACUUCACUCAUACAGACAGACAUGCAAUGCAGAUACAAGAGAUAUGAUAAAGGAGAAAGCACCUAUUUGAUGUCAGAAACAAACAGUGCAGUCAACUUGGGCUAAGAACCGUUUUCACAGUAUAAGUAAGUUCACACAAUUUACAGAUACUGUUGAAGGCUGACCGUCAUUCUGCUAUACAUUAGUUGUAGAGAGGCUAGUAGUUUGCUUGGUGAGUGGACCGACAGAAGCACAAGGGGUUCAAAGGAAGCCGUACACAGACAUAGAGGAUCUGACUAAUGUGCACACUAUGCAUGAUUUGUGGGCAUGCACGAAUGUCAUCUUCAACCAGAAGAGUGAAGCAUGCAACGCUGUGUGUUGGGGAGAGGAUAGACAUUUGCUCUGCUCCGAUUCAGCUUGAGCUGUUUACAGAGGACACAAGUUCUUUGUCUUUUUCAACUGUAUUUCUGACAAUAGUGUUCAACGCCCUGUCAAAACAAUAUAGUGGUAGAAGUACUCAAAAUAGUGAGUUGGUCCUCGAGAAUGAGGAAGGCAGUGACACCACUUGUCAACAGGUAUGUCAUGAACUUACAUGGUAAAUGUAAGCAGAGUUUAAGAACGAGUGUGUUCAAACCAGAAAAUAAGGACAACAAACUUGAUGUCAGCAUGCAGACAAAGAAAUUGUGUGCUCUUGAUGGAUACUACUCCCCCACAAUGCAAUACAUUGAAAACAUAAUUGUUGCUGGUGAAAAAGCCCAGGGGAAAAAUAAAUAAUACAAAAUUAAAGCUUAAAGGCUGGCGCAUGCUUCUGCGUUGUUGCGUCAACGCACUCGUUUCAAUUCAUGGUUCUAAAGUCUUGUUUUUGUUGAAGACGACCUAGAGCGUCAGGUCUUAGUGUGUGGAAGUCGUUCAUAGACUUUAUUGCCCCGUGCAUCGCCACUGCUGCUUUUCAUCGCGGACACAUUUGUCCCGUAUUUUCCUCCACAACUUUGUUCCCCUCGACCGGCAAACAGACGUUUGAAGGGAAAUCUCCGUUCAUGAAUCAGAGGCCAUCCGCGCGUCCUUAUAGUACGCCAAUGAAGGCUUGUAUAAGCGGUCAAAUUUACGCAUUUCUUCCGACAAAAGUUCUUCAAUCUGAUCCGUUCUCUCGUAAACAUUCUUCGUUUUAAUAAUGGCGGUAUUGGGCUAUGAAAACGGAAAUGUGAGACUCCGUAAAGGAUGUAGUUAGCAGACCAAUGGCAGCCUUGUGCGCUGCGGGCGGCUUGCAUCGCUUUCGACGCAAGCCUAAAAAAAUGGGUCAACGCACGCAAGCACGCAAAGAGGUGUGAAAAGGCACGCAAGGGACACGCAAGGGGCUCUUCCGUAAAGCAUAAACUAGGCUUUAAGCAGAAGUUGUCGGGCCCGCUAGCCCGCUGCCAUGCAUUUCUGUGGCCAUCAGACGCCGCUUGCACAAGUUCACAUGGUAUUUUCCUGUGUGUACCAGCAUCUUGUCAGAUCAUAAACCUUCAAUAUUUUGAAUGUAUCUCGGAAUAUAGUUAUAAAUGUAAGCCGGUAAAGAUCGACAAAAGACGGUGAGUGAUUCAUAGCCGAAAAAGUCUUGGAAAUUAGUGGACUGUAUGCGUAUAUCCAUGUGAAAAAAGCAAAUAAAAAACGUUUGUAGAAAUACAUUUAAACCUGUUGUAUAAUAAAUAAUAUAAAUGUUACCGGGUGACGCUUAAGUGUAUUUUACUCAUUUUGAAUAAUUAUUUAACAAAUUUUCUGUUUUCUGAUUUUCUGUUUGCCAUUUUGAGCAUUAACCCAAUUUAAUUUAUAGUUCACCUAUGUAUGCUUUAUUAAUCCCCGUGGGGAGAUUAAUUUAAACAGUCAAAUGCAGAUAUAAAAGAUAAUCAAAAAUUGCUGAAAAUGCAUAAAUUAGAAAAAUUGAAAUUUAUUUUUAUAUAUUGCUGAAAAUACAGAAAUAAAAAAGCUGGAAUUAAUUUUUAAAAACUGCUGAAGAUUUGGAAAUGAGAAAAGUUCAAAUAAAUUUCAAAAGAGUUUAAAAAAUGUACACCCUUUGCUUACUUUGAGAAAUAUGUCAGAAGAUUUGCAUUGGUCUCUACGGACCAAUAUUUGGACAUUGUUUUUCUUGUUGUUCUGUGGCUCAAAGCAAACAUCUGUGGGAUUCCAUAGCCACAUGACUACGACUAGCACAGGCAUCCAUUGUUUUAUCCAAAAAUGAUGUAUGAAGAGUGAAUAUUGUGGCAAUGGUAAAUUAACUCUACAGCGCUUUUCUAGUCUCCCGACCACCACUCAACGUGCUUUAACACUACAUGACACAUCACUCACCCAUUCACCCACUGAUAACAGGAGAACCAUACACAGUGCCACCUGCCCAUCGAUAACUAACAUUCACACAGGAGCAAUAUUGGGUUAAGUGUCUUGCCCAAGGACACAUUGACAUGCAGGUUAGCUGGGCCUGGGAUCGAACCACCAAGCAUUUGAUUGGAGGGCGACAGUGCUCCACAGCCGCCCUUGUAGGCAAUGAGAACAAACUAGAAAUAUUUUUUCGGUUGGUUAGGUUAAUAUUUUUAACCACAUUCUGACAGUGCUCUCCCCUUUUUAGCUCUUCAGUAUUCACUCUAACCGGCCCCAUAAAUAUCUAUCGUCAAACCGCUUAUCCUGCACAGAGGGUCGUGGGGUGGCUGGAGUCUAUCCCAGCCAACUUCGGGCGAGAGACGGCAUACGCCCUGGACUGGUCGCCAGGGCAAACACAGAGACAUACAACCAUUCACACUCAAACACCUACAGGCAAUUUAGAUUCACAAAUCAAUCUGAUCCCGAGUGCAUGUUACCGUGACCAACAAGACGAGAGAAACUUUGUGAUCAACCAAUGCUUAAUCGAUCGCAUUGCAGUUAAAAAAAAUGUAUUAUCAGCAAAGUCAAUGUUAGGAGGUUAGCAACAUGCUAAGGCUAAAUAUAUGUGAGGGGUGGGACCUUAGGACCUGGGAGCCUCAGCAUAGAGCGGGAGGCUUAAACUCAAGGAGAGCCUCUCCAUAUAAAGGAGAUCCCGUGAGAGUUGAGGAACUCACGUUUAUUCUCGUUGUCCGGCAUGUGCUGAAGUCUGGGUUGCUUUGUUUGUUGCUCGCCAGUACCGUGCGGGUGAGCAAACUGUACUAAGGAGAAGGUCAGACCUGAACCAGACCUGGUGAGCCCAGGGUCCUACCUGCUGGUGCACAGGUGCAUUGGGCCAAGGAGGUAGGAAGUUGGGCUUGCAAGCACAUUAUGCGUUUUGUAAUGAGAAGGAUGAUGGGUACUUGGUGAUUAAUGGCUGUUUUGUGCAUUUCAGGCUGAACUGGUGACACGCAGUGGUCAGCAGGACAGCCACUGCUCUUUUUCUCAGACCAUAGUUUUAGUUUAGAUUGUGCUCCAGUGCCUCCAUCUUGCUCCCUCUAUUUAUAGAAAUAACACACUGAUAUUGUGCCCUUUUGAUGACCGUUGCUUCCCCCUUCCCCACUUCUAUUGUGUUGUGUCUUUUAACCAGGAUCAGUAAUCGUAUUUGAGUGUGUUGGUUUGUAAUGUUGCUUAUUUUAGCCUUUCUUAACAGUGUGCAGUGUUUUUAUUGUUGGAAGUGUCAUUGUGCCCCCGGUCAAUCACUACUGGUAUAAAUUAUUUGGAUGUGGUUUUAUAAAGUUAUUGUUUAAAUAAAAGUGAUAUUGCAUUGUACACGCAGAAGCCUCUGUCUGUCUAUGAUCUACCUCGUAUGGGGUUUUGGCCAAUAAGAUAAUUGAAUUCAGGGUCUCUCCCCUCCAAAGAGAGUGGCGUUGUCACGUCUGGAUACUAUUCCCAAAGUAUUUUAAGUGUCCAUUAGGUCACAUAUAAAUCUCAGGCUAAAGUCGGCAUCUUAUUGUUAAAAAUAAAUGUCCGUCUGUACGAAUAAAGGCAAGCCGCACGAACAUGUUUGAUCCGCCGUGUUUGGAUGUCAAUGUAGCCAUGAACAUCAAUUGUUGAUGAUGUGUUUGUGUUUGGCGCCGCCGCGCUAACGUUGCUGGGAAAGAUGAGACGUAACUGUGACAUAGGACUUGGCUCUGCGCUGGCUCUUUAGCCUGUGGAAAAGCAAACCGGUUCUUUAGAGGCUCGUCAGUUGAACCAACUUCGAACCGGCUCUAGCUCUGGCUCCGAACCAGGACGUGGUUCUUGUUGGUGGAAAAGGGAUAUAUGUGUCCUAAGAAGCCCCCCAGCAGUCUAGGCCUAUAGCAGCUUAACUAAGGGCUGGUCCAGGCUAACCUGAGCCAGCCCUAACUAUAAGCAGAAUCAAAGAGGAAAGUUUUAAGUUUUACUUUAAAAGAGCUGACCGAAUCUGCCCCCCGGACUGAAAGUGGAACCUGGUUCCACAAAAGAGGAGCUUGAUAACUGAAGGCUCUGGCCCCCAGCCUACUUUUUAAAACCAUAGGAACAACAAGUAACCCAGCAUCUAUGGAGCGCAGCUGCCUUGUAGGGCAAUAAGGUGUUACAAGCUCUUUAAGAUACAACGGUGCCUCACCAGCAAGUGCCUUGUAGGUGAGGAGAAGUACCUUAAAAUCUAUUCUUGAUUUAACAGGGAGCCAGUGCAGAGAAGUUAAUACAGGAGUGAUAUGAUCCCUUUUCUUAGUUCUUGUUAAUAUAUCAGGCUAACCAGCAGCCAGUUAAAUAACCUGUUGGGUCGGAUCGGUGCCAGCGUCGCUCGAUUAGACACCAGCUAACUUACAAGGAGUUCAGAUUCAUGACGUACAUUCACGCUCUGGCAGCAGAACGGCAGUCAUGACGAGCACAGCAUCUCAAUGCUGAUUGGCUUUUGCAAGACAGCAUAAAGGGAAUUUUUUUGUUUAAUUAUGCAACUUUGAAAUAUUCAAAUAUUUCGACUUUGGCGAAAAAGCGCUUUAUUCGUUUUGCUCCUUUUGCGUUUUCUGCGCCGCGCGUUGAAAAUUUGCUUCCUCAGCAACUAUUCGCGUCAUUGACUUUGCAUGGAAUCUACUCAUGCGAAUAAUUUGCUUCGCUUUUGCCGUGAACACAGCACAAGUGUGGAGGAAAGUCUUAAGCUUUAUCUUAAAUGAAGUGACUGUAUCUGCACCCUGGAGAUGAAAGGGAAAGCUGGUUCCACAAAAGAGGAACUCGAUAACUGAAGGCUCUGGCUUCCUUCCUACUUUUUAAAACUUUAGGAACAAUAAGUAACCCAGCAUUUAUGGAGCGUGGCUCUCUAGUAGGGCAGUAUGGUAUUAUAAGCUACCAUUACGUGACUUGCAAAUGUGACUUGUGAAGGCAAUUGGUUGCACCAGUCCACAAAACGUGGAAAUUUACAUGGCGGGUGAGUACUUAUGCAAGGCACUGUAAAUUUUGAAAGAUUUCAUUAAUUUCUUAUCACAAGGUUAACUCCAAAAAUUACUCAAUGGAUUUAAUUCUUGUCUCUUUUGCUUUAAAAAAAAUAAAUCGCAACAUUUCUGACACAGAUGUUUAACGUUAAAGCGUACCAACAGUGUAAGAUUACAAAAGUAAAAUCAUCCCUCUUUCCAAUCUCUGGUUCUUUUAAUUUUAUAUAUUUUGUUUAGAAGCAUUGGGUUUCAUUAAUUCUAGCAUCAAAAAAUAAAGGCGACUUCCUGUCACGGGGAUCUCGAGGUGAGGACUCGGACGCAGAUGUGUCCGGGUGUGCACAGCAAAAGGACAUAAUCAGGAAACAUUUAUUACCAAAAUAUGUCAAACAUACAAGGAAUUUGUCUUGGCGGUUGGUGCACGACCGUAGACAGUGUGACAAUAGACAACAAGACAGCAGUGCACAAGUAAUAAAAUAAAGUAAAAUGAAAUGCUGAUGCAAUGGGUUAGUAGAAUAAGGCUAUGGGUUAGUAUAAAACAAGGGAAUAAAAACACACUGGCACAAGACAAGGGGAGACGCAGACUAUAAGUACACAUGAGGGAAGUGUGGGAACAGGUGGACACGAUCAGGAAUCAGGGAAAACAAUUAAACUGGUGACACAUGAGGAGGGGCUAGGAACCUGAAACAACAGGAGGGUUAAUUAUCAAAAUAAAACAGGAAGUCACAAAACAACCAUUGAGACGGGACAGAAGCCCAACUUGACCUACAGGUGUGACACUUCCAUUAUUUUGUGAGUCUAUUUGCUGAAAAGAGAAACUAAACAGAGCAUAGUAGCGUUUGACAAAAUUAUAUAAUUUUACUGGUGAAUUAAUACUGUACAAUUACUCAUUAUGGAGAAUUCACCCUGCAAGCCAUUUUUUCGCUUUCACCAACUAUUUUACUACUUUUUAUAGCCUGAACCCUUCUUUGAAUACCAGUCUAUAUGUGAUAAUAUAAGGUGAAUAUCUUGAUUGUUGAAUUGCAUUUUACAGUCAUAUGUAUUAUUAUUAUUAUUAUGUACACUAUUCUCAUAAAUUGGCUGCCUUGCAAACACUGCAUUUGGCCAUGCUGCAAUAAUAAUCCAGCCUUCAUUACAGCUCCUCCAAAAAAGUCAGGACAUUGAUGUACAAGCGUAUCUCAGGAGAGAGUGUCUGUUUACCAAUCAAUCUGUUCCACCCUGACAUGUUCCAAGUCCGAGUGUCAUUAUGGCCACUGUUUGGUGCUAUAAAACAGAGUUGGACAGUGCUGAUAGCAGUGAGGGAUAUGGAUGGGCCUGUUUCAAGUUAGACAGCAGCAUCGCAAUACAUCUUCCAGCGUAGAGGCCUGUCAUCGUCAUACUGCCAGGAUGGGUUUGUCAUAGAGGUAUGCACACGUGCAUGUCCAGUAUCCAUGCAUAACACUGACGGGUGCAGAGUAGCGUAGACUAAGCACACACUUCAAUACACAUACAUUUUUGUGGUGAAAACCUUAUUUCUCCCUUGUACCAUCUUCCUAUCACCGGUCCCAUCACACCAUCCUAAAACACACACAACAUCCAACAUCCCCCCUCCCACACAUACAGUCCUUUCUUCCUUAGAUGUGUCUGUACACGAUUCCCUGGCCGCAAAUCCUUUAGUGGGAUGGAUGAACGUCUACAGCCCAUUCAUCAUCCGCCUUAUCCGCCACCUCACCACUUUUUUUACAUCAGCCAGCAGUCACACUGACAACUGAUGGCCCUCCCGCACCUUCUACCCCUCUCCCUUGCCCCCCCCUACAUCCUCAACUAAGUCUUUCUCGUGCCAUUUCUCUUUUUUCUCACUCCCCAGUGCCCUACUUGCUUUGCAUGCACGUCUAAAAAUGUGCAUUUUGUGCACGCAUUCUCAUCCACCCACUUUCUCUUCCUUCUUGCCUGCUCAUACAGACUUCCUUCUUCCCACCCGCUCUUUAUCUCCUGCCCUCCCCUCUAGCCUUACCCUCUCUACGUCCCUCUCCAUCUAUCUAUCUCUCUCCUGUGCACUGUUGGGACCAGAGUGGCACCUCAGAGCGGACCGUAAAAAGGCCCCAUAAAAAGCCCCAACACAAGGAAGAAAGGGUAAUGAUGAAAUUUAACUGCUCCUCUUGGUGCACCUGGGGUCUGGCUCUGCAUGUGUGUGUGGAUACACGAGUGUGUGUUGUGUAUGUGUUUGUGUGUGUUUGGCAAGCAGGGGGCCUGGGCACUGAACCGGAACUGCCCUGCUAGAGGGGUCAAUGUCACGGUACCCCAAUGAGAGUUAUCGCUUUUUAAGACGUACUAUAGAUUUUGUGAGGGAACUCAUUUACACCGGCAUAAAAUAGAAGGUGGCAGGGGAAGUUUAAAAUCUAAAAAGGACAGGGAAUUGGGAGACUGGGAGGAAAAUAGGUAAGAUGGCUCGAGUGGCCUCACCGGUGUGAUACCGAUUAACCUUUUGUGGAGGAUGGAGACUGAUUUUUUGGAUGGACUGAAACAAAAUCAAAUCUAGGACACCAUUAAAUUCACAGUGGUAUGAGUUCAAAUUAUGUCUUUUGCUUUUUAGAUGUAGCACACACUUUAAUGCAGUAUACUGUGUACAGUAUAUGUCAAUAAAAUCCACAUGGAGUUAUGUCCACUGCUGAUGCCGAAAUAGUAUGUUGUUAAACUGAUUUAUGAAGUGUGUUGCAUCAACAUUUUUUAAUCUUUUAUUGAUUCAGGGGUGCCAUAACGGCAAUGAAUACACCCCAUUAAAAUAUAAUGGUCUUGUAGUGCAUGUUUGUUGAUGCAAGUUAAAUUCUCCAACUGUGUGUGUGUGGUUAAAGCCUGCACCUCUAGGCCUGUAUGUCAGGGCAGGACUAUUUUCAGUUCAGUUACUGGCUUGAGCCCAGCACCCUUCCAAGGCUCAGAUGCUGGCUCACUGGCCUUUCCCUGCCUCCCACCUGUCCCUGGCUGCAAGCCUCCUCGGCUGGCCCGCCGGCGUGGAAAAUCAGCCUUUGAUGGGCCUGUGGGGACUGAAAGGGGGGGGUGGCUGGGGUUGAGGAAACGAUGAAAUCCCCGGGAGGAGCAGCAUGCACUGACUGACAGGGCUUGACACUGAAGAGGCCCACAGCUCAGGCCUGGCAUAUUUCCUCCACCAAUGACUGUCGGCCUCUUGACUGGCCGGCAGAGCUGGAUCCCAUACCCCAUGUGUCUUCCAUGCCUCUAUGUAAGGUGGCAUUUUUUAUUUAAGAAAUAUCCCGAUGUAAUAAAAGCUGUGCUAAACCAGAUCAUAUCCAACAUUGCAACCUCUCUCUAAAUGACUAACUAAUGCUGCAACCUGAAAACCCAACGUAUGAUUUGUGGUUUUCUCAUUGUAACACAGCAAGAGACUUAUUUUGUAACAUAAAUCUGUUGUAGUCAAAUCAUGAUAUAUUGUAUUCAAUUACAAACAUGAAAUAAACUGCAUUGCAAAAUUGCCACACGACUUUUCUUUUUGUAGCCUUUUAGUUUAUUCUGUCGAUUACAUAAUAAUAUACAUGACAUACAAAAAUAAUUAAUACGGAAUAUCUGAAGAUUGAAACGAGUAAUAAACAUUAGCACCGAGCUGCAGAAAAAAUUAUUUAGAAGACAAAACUAUAAUCAUUACCCAAAGUAUUUGUUGUAACAUCCAUCACAAAGUAGAGACCAGUUUCCUUAUUCAACUUUGACCUCCUAUGGUUACUUAAGGCUAAACCUUUAAAUAGUUUACCUGAAUAAUCAUCUAAUUACUUGAGCGUGUUACCUAGCUGAACCUCUUUGCAGCAAUGUUGCUGUGGCUAUUGAGUAACCAUGUCUUUAAAGGAGCAUAUUGUAUUCAUAGCUAAUCAAAGUAAUGACAAAAGAUAAACACAUGAGAUGCACAAUUGAUACACCAUCACCGCUGUUCAAUAGGGGCACAUUAAAUAACAGCAUUAGAGUCAUCAAGAAACAUUGUCAUGGCAUAACCACGAGUCAUCUAAGAAAAAUCUUGCCUUUUUCUCCCUAACCUUACCUCUAAGGACAACCAUUUCUCUCACCUUAAGUAACUUAGUGGGAGACAAGUUUGAUGGGUCGAACAAACAAACUUAAUUUUCUUGCAGAAAAACGCUGUUUAGUUAUUUUUAGAAAUAAAAAGUAAAGCUACCAUUUUUCUCAAAAAUUUGUCAUGAAAGUUGUUACUGUUGAAAUUCACAUAUGUAGUAACGUAUCAGGUCAUGUUAACGUCAAACAUUUCCCAAACUAGGUGGUUUUAUUGCUUCCUAGGAUAUGUAUUUCAAAAGGUGAAAUGCAUUUAACAAGCUUAUAUAGACAAAGUGAUGCGAGAGGGGUGCAGAAGAUGUGAAAGUUUGAAGCUUAGUGCCGCAGACCAAGCUGCCUUUUUUGACGCAUUGUUUUUGCAAGAGACCAGGUAUCAUUUAGUGGAUAUGUAUUAGUAGGCUUUGAGUUUUGGACUGAUGGACAUUUUUUGGCAUCAACUAUAUCCCAUCUUUUCAAUAUACCACCCUAUGAAACAUUUGCCAUGUAUAUAUUACUUACACUUUUGUCAAAACAGCUUACUGCUAAAAGGAUUAGAUUGACACACAUAUAAACACAAACAUGCUAAUCCUCAUUAGCACUGCUGAAAGCCCCUCUGAUGCAGGGUACAUGUAGCCAGGCAGGAGAGUGGGAGGCUAAAGUCAGAUAGCUGCAAAUGCAAAUGAUUGAUUUGAUUUUGGAGUGCACACACACACACACAGCCACACACAUAGUGUACUCAAAGACUAAACACAUUGUGUGGUUUUCUUGCAUCUUGUGGAAUUUUAUUGAUAGAGAGAGUGAUUGUAAAUGAAAUAAGGGGUCGAAGAGGAGGGAAGUGGUAGAAGACACGGAUGUUCAGCCAACAGUGCUGGCUCACACCACAAGCUCCCACUCGGUUUUUGGAUCCGACAACCCCAAUGUAAUAACAGAUAAAUAGAGAGGGCUUGUCAGGCCACAAAAGCAUUGGGCUUGCCAAAGAGAACGGAGGGAGUGAGUGUAUGUAUUUGUGCAUGUAGAAACAGUAGCGACUGGGAGAAAGAGCUAAUAGCUGACAUCUGGCACGAUUUGCACCCAUCUGAGGCCUGUGCUCGAGCCUUGCACUCUUAUGCUGAAUGAUAAAGCAGAAGGAUUGAAUCGGCACACUUGCAAAUCCCCCGGCCAGCCCUGGGGGUAUGGGGAGAAAAGCCUCAUCCAGCCUUUCAACAGUUAAUGUGCCAAUUUGUUUUCCAGAGUGCUCGAAGGAAGAAUGUAUCGCCAUGUUUUGAGGCAAUGGGUAAAUGCUAAUAAAAUGCUCUUUUGCCGAAAUUAAUUUAGUUGGCCACAGGAGGGUUGAAGAGCUGGAGGAGAAAGAGGAGAUCUGGCCCUUGCCAAGGCCAUGUUUGCAGACGUUCACAGAGACCCCACUGCCAUGUUAAAUGCCCCCCGCUACACACACACAAACAACUAUUAACCAAUUUGAAACACUCAUCAUCUAUCGCUAACCUAUCCACAGCAGUUACACAAUUUAAGGAAGUAGCUCUGCUUUGGUUUUCAUUAACAAGUGAGAAUAAUGUAUUUACACUCUUUAGCUGCUAAAUCUUCCAAUAUGCUUACAAACCAGGCAGUAUCUUGCUGAUUCAGUACAUGUUCAGUCAGCAAAUCAGGCUGUGUGAAAAUGCAAAUAAAUCCUAUUCAAGUAUUACUUAACAACAUAAUAAUUUUAUGGUGGAGCAACAGUGCUGUCAGCCUUCAGGCCUGGAGUAUAUUAUUUGCCAAAUGAAAUGCUGCAUCCUGCUCACAAAUUAUUUAACAACAAGUUGGCAGUCAUUAUUCAUUGUGACUGAGAUGAGGGAAAAGGAAAUGACAGAGAGAGGGAGGGGUGAGGAUGAUAUGGAGGUGAAGCAGAUCUUACGGAAAGAAGGAUGGGAUGAAAGUAGCUGAUGCUUUGGCUCCUGCUCAUGUGCCAGCCCUGAGCCAAGUAGUAGAGUUCUACUGGGGAGGCGGGCUCUUCAGAAUAUGUCCACAAACUAAUUACUGACAGUUUUGUUCAGGGAAUUAUCUCCAUGUAGAUUGCUGCAUUUCACAGCAAAUUAUCUGUGGAAAUCCCAGAAAACAAUACAUAAGGCAGAAAGGUUUCAUUGGGGUCUUGCUUAUUGUCUUGCUCACUCUCUUUGUCCUCCUCUCUAAUGCUGAGGAAACUAAGAGCCUGUUUCCUUUAUUUGUGAAUUCUUUCUCCUCUCCAAAAAAAUCCAAAUAAAGGCUUUGUCUAGGUUGUGCUGUGAGGUAGCGAUAAGCUGUCAGUAUUGAUGCCAGAGUGUUUUAAAGCAUUCUUAACGAUGUUGUACACCCAUACAGUGCUUUGUGGGCUUGGCACAUUGGAAUAGCACCAAGAAAAGCAUUUCGUUCUAUAUAUAUCCAAAUAUAAUGUAUUAGUCAGAAAAGAAAAAACAGGAGCAUGGUAUAAAGGGAGAGAAAAUGUCAUAAAAAGCUAAGUAUAACCCCCCUGAAGAAACAUCAAAAUGCCGUAAAAUAUGCAACUACAAAAACAAACAUUUUGUAAAGGGGGGAUUAUUAUUAAUAUGUGUAUUAUUAAUUGUUUAUGCUUAGUUUUUGUCUUCUAUUUUGUCAUCUUUAAUGUCUUUUUUCACAUUUUUUAUAUUUCUGUUGUUUAUUUGUACAUCUAUGUACGAUUAAAAGCAACAUGUAACCGGAAACACAUUCCAUGUAUGUAUAAAUAUACAUGGCCAAUAAAGCCGAUUCUGAUUUUAUUAAUAUAAUUUGUUGCUUUGGUAUUUACUUAAUUUUAUCUUACAUAUUACUUGUGAAACCUGUCAUUUUCUGUAAUGUUUACUGUAUUCAAUUUACACCUUGCAAGUUACCUUGCAAAGUUAAAAUUCUUGAAAAAUGAACAUUAAAUAAAUACGUUUCUUCUUUGGUUUCUUUUUUUCAGCUAUUUACUCCGAGGUGGUCCCCUUUAUCCUGACAGCAAAUAUUUUUCGAGACAGACGUUUCAGAGAAACACCUUCUUAUCAUGGGUACGCCAGUUUCAGGGGAGAGGCCAAAAAACAGCCUCAGAGUUUAAAAUGCCAACCGCAUCAUUGCUGGCUAUAAAGGGACCGCAGAUGUUUUUGCUCUAGAGUUUGCCAACAAAGUUUGUAUAACUUAGAAAUAAGCACACUGAAUGCUUUCUUACUAUGUUGCAUAGAUAAACUAGUGAAUCACAAAACUGAUUUAUUUAGUAAUGUUCAAUUAAUUAAUCUGUCACUUUAAUGCAUAGUCACUUACUCGUGUGACAACCAUAUACUCUACAUUCAAAUACAUAGUAACGCACCACAAGUUGAUGACUAAGAUUAAGUCAAUGGAUUCAAACGGGAGCCCUUGCCGAAUUUGAUCAAUAUGACACAUUUUCUUGUUUUCUUCAUGAUCAUGUCAGCUAUCAUGAACCCUGGAGGAGGGUUCAUCAAUUAGUGACAGUAUCUGGGUCAGUUCACUCUUCAGGGUGUAUGGGUGGGCAUCCGGACAACCCAGGACCUGACGCAUCCUAAGGAUGAGCAAAGGGAAGUGUUUCAAUGUGUAUGUGUGUUUGUGGGGAGGGUCGGGCUUAGGAGAUGUAUAGUAGUGCUACACCCCAAUGACAAGCCCACUGGUCUCAUGGCAAGACACAAUUAAUGACCCAUGCCAACAUUACAGGAUGAAAAAUCCCCACUGUCCGAGCAUCGCCCCACCCCUCCCCGUCCACCCUUCGCCUGGCAACUGGAAUUCUUCAUUAGGUCUGGAAAUGGAGAGGAGGGUAUAAGAGCCUGUUUGCAUCAUCUUUGGACUGCUAUAAACUGCUGAUAUCUAACUCAUACCUGGCCUCAAAAAACAAGGUCACCAAUUCAGGACUUAUACCCAUUUAAUAGGAAAAGUUGGUCUUUUGAAAAGUAGUCUCAUCUACAUGCUUUUCUUUGGCAAAGACAUGUUAUCCUCCCAUUGCAAUGAGGUGGUGGGCGUAAAUUGUCACAAUUAUUUAUUAUUUAUUUGCAAGCUUCACCUAACAUCUUUUCAUUUUCAUCAGAAUUACUUUCUAUUGAAUACAAAUUCAAAAUCUAUGAAGAGUGCAUUAAGUAAAGUAUAAACUUGUCAUAUUUUUCUUCUUUUGGCUGUACAAGUGAAAUUAUAAUCAAUAUUAUCACAGAAUAGUGAUAGGAUUUUUUUCUUGUUGUCAUCUUAUUUCAGUCAUCUUCUCUACCGCUUAUCCUUAGAGGGUUUCGGUGGGGGCUGGGGUUAAUCCCAGCUAGGAUCAGUGGAAGGAAGCUGGACUAUAUCUGGAGAAAACACACGUAGGCACAGGGAGAACAUGCAAACUCCACAGAGAAAAGUCUCUGGAUGUGUUUGAACCCAGGAUCUUCUUGCUCUGAGGCAACCAAACCACUGUGCCGCCCUCUUCAUUCUAUACCAUAUGAACUAAAUCCAUUUGUACUACAGAGUAAUGCCUUAUUCGCCACAGGUUUUCAUUCACAUAUAUUUGUAAUUGCAUUUUGUUUUUUUGGUCUCAAUCUCUAGUUCCAAGUCUUUUUCAAUACAGCAUGAUGUUCAUUUACAAGAAUAUAGUUGCACAUGAAGUAAAGCAUCACACAUCCGGAUUGUCUCAUUUUCUUUCAAUUGAAAAUAUAAUGUUCUUUGAGUAUACAAUUUGUCCAUGCUCAGGGAUUGGACAGGAAGGAAAGAGUUGGGAGAGAGGGGAUGAUACACAGCAAAGAGCCAAAGGUUGAAAUGUGCCGCUGCCAAGGGAGCCAACGCUCUACCUAAUGAGGUGGUCAGUUUUUGCAUUUAGUGUACAUUUUACACCAUAGUACAGUGGCUUUUCUCCCGCUUUGCUCUGGCUGUUUAGACCAGCUGCAGACUCAUCACAUCUUCUUCGACAACGCUCAUUCCAACCACUAUGUGCCAUCCAAUAAGCCCAAUAACCAGGAUAAACAAAUCGUACCAAUCUCCAAAAGUGAAAAUAGCUUUCAAAAUAACAACUGCGAAUGUAGAAAUGCAUUAUCUUCACCCUCAAAAUCCAAUUUAUUUCAUGCAUAUCUUACUAUCUAAAUUGAAUACAGGACGUGCGGGAAAUCACUUUCAAAAGACUUUUCUUAUCUAAUCGCAGAGCGCUAUCUUAUCUCUGGCAUCUCGCUUUCUAACCAUGCAGAGGCGUCAAACUGCGGUUCUCUACUCUGCGGCUGUCUCUCUAUGUUUUCACUGAUUUUCUCAUGCAUCAUGUUUUGCCAGAUCCACCACACAUUUAAAAGGAGUGUUAAAUGUAAGUAUAAAGUUAACAGAUUAAUAAUUGCAAUUAUUAGGUUAUGUAAAGAUUUUUAAUUAUGGUCAGAUAGACUGAGUUGAAAUAUUAGGUGAAAUUCCAAUUAAAUGAGCUAAUCAAAAAAUGUAAAAAAACGUAGUAACAAAGUAACAUUCAGCAUUCAAAAGGGUACAACAUUCAUGCAUUUGCAAAACCCACAUAUCCUGUGUGAUCAUUGCAGAAUGUGCCAUAUAUAUGUGGUAUAUGUAUGCGUACAGCACAUACAGAUGGUGUCAGCCCAGAUUAAUCAGAAUUAAUUGCCACAAUCAAAUAGUAAUCACAGUAGUAUGAAUGACAAGGCUUGUGUUACAAGUACAAAUUUACAUUUGAAGCAGUAUAUUUCAAGGAAAGGCCCAAUGAUUUGUCUUAAUCAUUCAUCCACUACUUUCAUACUGUGGACAGUGAAUUAAAACCCAAGGGCCCUGUCAUUGACACAGUUCCAAGGACUGAGACCCCAAAUCUCUGCACACAACCUGCUGUGUGUGGGGGGUUAGGGGACGGUGUGACCCUGGUCAUUCCCACACACUGAACGCUUCAGAGCCCCAACGGUUGUUUACUGAUCUACCUAAACACUUCCUCUCUCACACCCUCCUAACCUUUCCUCUUGCUCCCACACUUCUUUAUCUACACAUCAGCACACACAGAGUCCAUGUGAACAAAACACCCAAAGAAUAAACAAACUAUUACUAUUACUUACUAUAAUAGUCAUUCCUAUGAAAUAAUAAUAUUCUUCCCCUAAAUUUGUCUUAUAAAAAAACAUUCCACAUUGGAGGUCAAUUGCAUAUAAUGCUGCUUUUACAGCACAGACUUUUGACUUAUAGCAGAAAAGAAACAGGUGUAAUUAAAGCUUCAAACGGCAAGAAAAACACUUGGGAAAUGUGUGCAAGAGAAACAAGCACAUAUAAUAGGGUGAGAAUCCAGUCAUUUUAAAAAUAAAAUAUUUUAUAAAAAGUCAAAAAAAGAGGGGGGGGGGGGGCUUUUUUCUGCGGACAUUACCAGUCCAGUGGUUGGGCACCCCUGUAGUUUUAUUUUAGUUAUGAAAGACACUGAGCCAGAAUUAUGUGUUUCUCUACCUAAAGAGAGUAAGGUGGAUUAAAUAUAAAUUCUUUUAGUUUGUUAAAUCAGCUUUGGGAGGCAUUCAGGAUUGGUGUGUGCAUCAACCAAGAAGCCGCUGUCUGUGGUAAUUUGUAUUGUUAAACCAGAAGUCAAUGUCAAAAAUUGUUCACAACAUUUCUGUACUUAAAUAGUACCACUUCUGCUUCUAUUUCUUAAAACUAACCAAGUAGUUUUGUUGUCUACACAAUCAGACAGUGGAUACAAAAGCUGUAAUGUUAAAUAACAAGAAUAUGUAGAGAAUAAUGCAGUAAGGCACUCAAGCAUUGUGUAAUACUGUUAUAAAGUUUAUUUACCUGUAGAUCAGGUUAACUGAUUUCACUAUUUCCCUCCACAUAUCUAGGCAUGGUUUACUCCUGUACCAAUGGUGGUAAUUAUCCCAUAGUAUCGUUAAAUGGGCACUUGUCAAUGAUACACUAAUCAAAUGUAAUUCAUGGAAUAAUCCCUGAAAUGUAAAGUUCAUGUGUGUUUCUACAACAUUUUCUUAUGUGCCAAACUUUGUUCAAUUUAAAAACAUUUCCAACACAGCUCAGUUCUCUAGAUAUCAAGAAUGUGAAUGAAAGUCGUAAUAUAUAUUUUUUUUAUUUUGAGAAAGAUUCACAUGCACUAUGAAACAAAAAAACAAAAGAAAACCUUCUUAUAGGCAAGAAUAUAUUGUAUAUAAUUUUGUCCACACAAAUGGUAACUUCAUUCCCUCUGACAAACUGCAGGCAAAAUCCCUUUUAUCACAAACAUUUAAACCGGCAGUUCAAGCCCGUGAGUUUAAAGGUGGAAGUUGGGCAUGCUGAUUAUCAUGGUCUGCUGCAAUUUCACAUUAAAGUACUUCAUAACAGGGUCAAUAAUCUUUUUUUCUCUUACUUUGCAUGAAUAUGGUGCAUCAUAAUAUAGUUUUUUUUUUUGUAUUUACUUUUAAGGAAAUAAUUACCAAUAAUUCUCACAAUGACUACAAGGAUGAGUGCGCGACUCGCGUAAAAGUGUACACAAAUGCUCUUAGUGGUGAUUUCCAGGAAAUGGGGCCACCGUGAGCAUGUUCUCUCUGGUUAACUACACUGAUUAGAGUCCUGACUGUAUGAACUCCAGAAAGGGUCAAGCUCAAUACAAACAGAGACAUAGAGAGAACUAAAGUAGAAAAAGGGGGAUAUUUAGUCUGUACUCCACUAUUUCCUCUCUCACUCUAUUAAACAGGAGCAUCCUGCAUCCUAUACCCAAUCCUCCCCCCAGUCCCCUCAUUUCCUACCUUCCAACCAGAACGCACACUCCCCCACAAAUCCCUUCACGCCAAACUCACUCAAGAUUAAGCAUGUGUGAAAUUGAGGACUUUCUAAUACACAUGCCCCUUCUGCUCUCCCCUCACGCACGCAAACGCACACAUGCGCACACGUAGACGCACACACACACACUAUCCAGUCCUUCUCGGGAACCAAAACAUAAGAGUAAGUAGUGAAUGAGUAAGUAGCAGAUAGGAAGAGGGGUUUGUCUGCAAAAGAGGCUUUAUAAUGAACACUUCCUGGUGAGUGUGAAUACUUCUAAAUGUGGGUCACAAGAUCUAUACAUUCAAUAUGUGAUUAUUUGUUUAAGACUCCCGACUUCGAUUGAAUUCCAUGAGUUUCAGAAUAGCACAGUGUGGGGGGGGACGGAAGGGGGGGAUUCUUCGCUUGCUUCUUGUUUGUUUCUUUACCAUAACUGAACAGUUAAAAAGUAAUUAUUUAUCUAAAUGUUUGCGUUAUUGAACUAUGCCAACCUUAUUUUCAGGAAUAAUUCAGUUCAUUUGAAUUUUUUGGAGAAAAAAAUGUUUUGUAUUUGUCACCAAAAAAUACAUUGAUUCUAUACAAAGCCAGUAAAUGAAUGUAAAAAAUCAACAGAACUGUAAUAUAACAAUAGUAUAUGAACCUUAAAUUAUUGCAAUUAACACGCUCUCCUCAAAGUCACAAAACUCCACUGGAAAACAAUUGACCUUUUAUAAGUUCAUCAUUUAAACUUAAAAACAAAAUAACAACCAUCAUGGUUUGCUCGUUCCACUUCCAACAGAAGUUCUGACAGAACACCUAUUUAAGUUUGAGUUAGCAACUGGAUCGCCAGCUUUACACUACAGUAUGCCAUACCAUACAAUACCUUAACGUAGCAUUUUUCCAGGUUUCAAAAUCUGGGGACAGGAAAAUGCUAUUCAAUGAAACUUCCCUGAACGUACGAUGCAUGCAAUCCUUGGUGUAAUUCAAAGGUACCUUCGCAGUAGCACAGUUCUUCAGCAGAAUGGGAUGACCCAGCAUCUGACAUUGAAAGAAUCCCUCCUUGACUCGGUGAGCCACCCACCUUAAAGCAAAUUUGAGAGAGCAGUUGUACCAAACACAGAGUUUAUUUAGUUUAGCUUUUAAUACAUUGAAGUGCAUGUGAGUGUUCCCCAUUGGUUAGCUCAAGACCGCUGCGCUGCUCCUAUUUUACAUGUUUUCAUCUUGAAAUAAACUAAAAUCUACUUUACUUUUUUUUACCUGAAGCUUGAAUUCACACUUUUAAUCAUGUUAAUUGCUACCAAUUUGCAAUAUAUAUAUGCAAUAUAUCUAAUAAAUUGCAGGCUCGUUAUAUUAUGACUGGUUGAGCAUCUGUAACAGGGGAGAAAGAUACGUUUCAAUGAGUUGACAAAAUUACAGUCUGCAAUUUUGUUACUCAAAACGAAACAGGUGUCAUCCCUCGUUGGACUUCGAGCAUAUUGUGUCAUGUACUUCAUACACAAGUUACUUCCAAUCCAGAGCUUUCACAAAAGAGGAAAGUAUCUAUUACAAAUUAAGCAGUAAAUCAACUAAAAUAAGAAAGCGUAGAUAACUCAAAACCAGCUGCCUGAAAAGGUUUUCAUCACGCAUGUGAUGACAUAUUUGAAUUGGUUUAAUUGAGAAAAUCUGGAUGCCUGGUGGUGAUUAAGGUUAGGACAGUGCCCUUGAACAUUGAUACUAAAGUUUACCCUGACAAACUGUGGAAAUGGUUUCACACCUUUCAUGUUCAAAGAAGUUCUAGCAAGACCUUUAUAAAUUUGUCUUUCAUCAUAUUCAUAAAAACACAAAAAGAAGAAAAACAAUGAUGAUGUUGGCAAAUUGUUUAUUCCAAAAAUACGUUGGACAUAACAACCUUAUGUAGUUUUCCUGAAGGAUGUAGAGGAAUAUACUUCUAAUUUCACUAACAAAAGGUAUAUCAAGGCACCGAAUAACUAUGGCGGCAAAUCACUGUCAAAAUUCGAAAGUCCAAAUCAGGUUGAAAUAAAACAUCUGCGAGCAAAUGUCUCGCGGGAGCAAAUGUCUGUCUCGCGCGAGCAAAAAGUCUGUCUCGCUCGAGAUAUUUGCUUGCUCGUGGAACGUGAACUCCCUAGCUCGCGAGGCUAAUCUCUGCUCGCGCUCGAAGGUGUUUUCUACAAGCUCGCUGUUUUUGUUGUCCCAUGUCGAAGUGUCCCUGACCAAGACACCUAACCCCUAAUUGCUCCCUGGGCAGAAAUGUAAAAAGCCAUGGGUUAAAAAUGCAAUGUAAGUCACUUUGGAUGAAAGCGUCAGCUAAAUGACGCUUCUCACCAUUAGGCCUUAGCGAUUAGUUUUCUUUUCUUAUUUUGUGAGGAAUGUUAGAUUUUACGGGAAUGUAUAUUUAUUGAAUAAAAAUGUUUUUGUAACCUGGGAACCACGAGCCCUUGCCUGUUGAGUGAAACGAACCCGCGUGCUUUAAAAGGUCUUGGGCCUAUCCCAAGUGGCGUUGCCGGUAGAAUAGGGAACCAUUUCGCCACAAACAAUAUUCCCUCUAGUCCAUGUUUCAGUAUUGUUAGUGGAAUGUAUGUUUCAAAUCCAAAACUGAAAACUGCCCUCCACCCCUGUCAUCACUGUAAAUAGUUGCCAGAUCCCCCAAAAAAGGAUUAACAAAACUAGUACUGCGAGCUGUACGAGACCUACUCGUACCUAACGUAAUAUUAUGACCGGUCUAGGAGGGACCUCGGACUUUUAAUAAACAGGAUACAACCGUAUGUGCCUUUUUUGCAUACAACAUACACUGCACUGAAUGUAGUACAUUAGAGUCUAGCAUAAUAGCAUUGUUUAAUAACAAACUGCUAUUCAAUCUUAAGUAAUAUUGCAAGAAGUUUGCUCAAUGAUAACGUGUGGAUGGCUCUUAAAAGAGACGUUUGGGUAUGCUUGAACACACGCUAUCUUGCCAUGAGACAGUUUCCUCGGCAGAGAAGUAUAAUCUGCAGGUGAAGUCCAGUCCCCGAUCCUUCCUUGUCCUGUCCUGCCAGUCCCGGCUCCACGACUCGCUCCCCGACUCGGCCAGUCCCGGCUCCGCGACUCGUACCCCGACUCGGCCAGUCCCGGCUCCACGACUCGUUCCCCCGACUCGGCCAGUCCCGGUUCCACUGACACCUCCACGACUCCUGCCUCCGACUCUGGUACCGGCUCCACGACUCGUUCCCCCAACUCGCCGGUACCGGCUCCACGACUCGUUCCCCCGACUCGGCCAGUCCCGGUCCCCUUGACACCUCCACGACUCCUGACUCCGACUCUGGUACAAACAAGCGAUCAAAUGGGCUAACAGCUAGCAUUAUGUACCACUGGAAGCGGCAUUCAUCCAGACGCAGCUCCUGUAGAAGUCUGUGAAAUUCCCCCGAGCUCUGCCGAACAGCGCUGUGUUCUGUACAAAAUAGCAUACGUGAGUCUAUGUAUGCUAUUUUAAACAGCGCUGUUCAGUAGUCCGACGAGCCUCAUCCUCUCCUUGCCCGCGAUGUCAGAGUCCACAGAUCAAAUGUUUGAUAUUUUUUCUAUUGUCUUUUAUCUCGCACACACACAAACACACUCACAUACACUGUGUAUGUGAUUCAGCUGUUGGGAGCAGACAUUUGCUCGGUUUGAAGGCCAUUCCAGUCGUAUUCCUUUGUUUGCUACACAUGACACAUUUCCUCUCCCACUGUGUCGUAAUAUGGCUAUUUUCUCAGUCAAUUUGCCUCUCUCAGCAUCCGAGCAACUGCAGAUAUAAAAGAUGAUACAGAUUGGGGAAUGGCUGUAAAAUCUGUACCAACUGUUUAAAUUCCAGGUCAUUGUUGGAUUUACAUUAAAAUGUAACAUGUAAAAAGAAUCAAGAUGAUUGUUUGAAUUCACAUUCAUUUUCUGCUUUCCUUGUUCACAAGUAAUGCAAGUAAUAAAUAACAAAAAUAAUGAAGAUAUCAUUUUGUGCAACAAAGCUUAUACCCUAAGAGUGAGGGGCAACUGUGAUAAGGCAGGAUCAGGACCCAGCCCCGUUAAAUAAUUGAUGCUGGGGUCAACUCAACAGCCUUUUUAUCAAAAGCUGGCGCAGUUAUGUACUAGUAUGGCAGCGUUUGGGUGACAAAAGGUUAAAUAGGCUUGCUAACAUGUUUUAUGUACAAAAUCACAAACCAAAGCUUGGACUACUUUUUCUUAUGUGACAAAAUGCUGACAAUAAAAACAAAUUGACAAGCUAAGGAUAAUUUCAAUUUCACAUUGACUGUCUGAAACACAAAUAUUGAAAAAGGUAGCAGAAAGCGCCAACAAAUGCCCAGCGCUGACACACACACACACUUGCAUACACACACUCCAACCCCACACCACCCCCUAUCGCUGAGGUUCACCCUCCUGAUUCUGUCCCCCUCGGUUGCUUGGUUGCUAGGCAACAUGUUCCUUGUGCGGACACCCACCUGCCUUCAGGCUUCAGUGCUCUAAAUUUGGUCUUAAUUGCAAAUUGAGUGGGAGAACAGGCCGACGCUGGCUGAAUGAGAAACAGGUGGAUGAAGCUUGGCCGCCAUGAAGUAACGGAGUCAGAAGACAAACAAUGAUAAAAUACGCACAAAGGCAGACACGCAAGCUGCUGCUUGGAGAUAUAUUUAAAAACACAAGUUCCGGGCAGUCGAAGGAAGAGAAGAUGUAUCAAGAGGAGUCAACAUGUACCUGCAAUGGUUGGCAUGGAGUUCCAAAGACAGAAAGAAAAAAAAAAUCAUCUCUUUUAUUUAGAUAUCAGUUAAGGGUCUCAAGCUCUUAUCUCUUAGCCUAAUUUUCAGUAUGAACAACAACCAUUCUUCCAACCAUUGAUGAAAGCAAUAGCAAAUAUGUAUUUUGGCAUACAAAUCCAAUUCUCAAAUUAGACUACGCUAUUCAAGGAUUUCAAUUGAUAAUUAAACUUGUAACGAUACUAGGUCUGUGUCAUGUAUUAGUUUAUUUAAUGUGUUUAAUGUAUUUAAUGUCUGUAAUCAGUUACAUGAAUUGCAAUUUGCUGAAGUCAUAUAAGGAAAAUCAAUAGAUUUCUACUUGCCUCUAAAACUGUACUUUUAUAUGUCACCUGCAAUUUGGAAAAACCAUAAAAGCUGUGUGUUCCUUAAAAAUCAUUUUUGGAAACAUAAUUCCCAUUUAAAUCUGAAGAUGCGUCUUUGGAGUGCAUGUUUUCUUAUCUGCCAACAUUGGUCUACAAAAGCUACAAGAGCUUUAUAGAAUAUUCUUCCUCCUGUCGUUCAGUAAGUAGAAUGGUUCCUCCUUAUAUCAGAAGACGUUUGAUCCCAGACUCAUCCUGUGCAAUUGUCCUCCAGUGAGACACUGAACCCCAUGUGUGUGAAUAAGAGACAAAUAGACUCGUUGUCCAAUAUAGUAGGAAGCUGCUUUUUGAAUGCGAGCUGGACACAUUGGUCUUAAUGUGCGGCCGAAGUGCCGGUAAUAAUGGUAAACUAGGGUUGUAGCUGGUUGUCAUCUACUGUCCACUACGAUUACAGAAAGGUGUCGUUUGUGUUUUGAGAACGUUUUAUCUCAUCAUUUCGACUUUCUAUAGUUCUGUGAAUGCAUAACUCCGGCCAAUCCAAAGACGGGGUUUGUAACCAAUUCGAUGUAGAGAUACCAUGGUGACUGGAUCCGCCUCUUUACUGUCAAAAACAGCAAGCGCAAAGAAAACAACUUCUCGAGCGUGCACAUUCAGGUUUUGCGAGCGAGCAAAUAGCUCGAGGCAGACCUUUGCUCUCUCAAGACCAACUUUUGCUUGGGAAAGUUUGAUUUGCGCUCCAGGAUUUUGACAGAGAUUUGCCGCUAUACUCUGGUCCUCUCCCACCCACCCUCGCGUGUUUUAGGGCCUUCGGGGGGGUACUGUCAUGGUGUGGGUUUGUGUUGUGUUUUAUUUAGUAGUUUCCAGCCUCUUGUGUCACCCCCUGGGAUUGUUUGCCGUGUCCCUGAUUGUUUCCACCUGUGUCUAAUCACCUGCACCUUCCCAGUGUAUUUAAGCAAUGUGUGUCUCUUGUCGCCUCGUUGCAUGUCUUCACGUUGAAUGUCUUUUCCGAAGCGUCUGUAUGUAUUUUGUUUUACCCCUAAGCGUUUUAGAUUUUUGUCGAAAUGAAGUUUUUUGAUAAUUACACUCUGCACUUGAGUCCUGCUUCCGCCUACCCGCUGUGACGAGAGAAGUAUAGUUUCCUAUGCACCCGGGCCUUGAAAGUCCCACUGGAAGUCACCACUUAUCAAUGGAGAAAUGAAUUACUUAACCCUAGAUAAAUACAGUAUAUAACUUUGUUUGUUUUGGGUAUGUCAGAUUGGACAUGGCACCCCACAAUCCAAUUCAUAAUUUGAAACGACAUGUCUUCUUUUAAUCAUUUCACAUGAAACUUGAAGUUUAUUACAACUGAAAUAAAUGUUUAAAGCAUAAUAUUUACAUCUGUAACACAAGUUCAGUUUAUUUACCCCAGUAAUUUAGGAUUAGCUAAAAUAAAUUACAAUUUUUUUUCCCUCACAUUUGCAGUUAUUUGUCAUCAUUAUGAUAAUGAGCUAAGUUUAGUCCCAAAACGUCUGUUUUGUUUUUCUCGCAACCAAAAUAUUAUAGAGCUACAUCGACAAACUAAAAACUCUUCAGAGAGAACAUAUCGUAUAUGGACCCUAUUCGCUCAAUUUAAUUACCACAGCCCUAUACACAAUCCACCAGAGACAACGGUGCACCGGAUGCUCAUUUCAACUCCUCUUCCCCCAAAUCCCCAUAGAAAUCUCCUUUGGUCGGACAAUGCACUUUUUCCCAUUUCAAAAAAAAAGAAAGAAAAUCAAUAUCUGGUUUCAAUACAUGUGGAAGCCGAUCAAUACCAGCUGCAGCGCUUUUUCUCUGCCAUACUCUUUCUCUAGUUUUCCCUCCAUCUCUGGAAAAUGGUAAAUAGAAACAAUGGUGUAUGGUUAUUGGGAGGUCAGGGUGCAGCCGCAGGAGAGAAUAAGGCUGCUGAUGAGAGUGCUUGAGCUGAAAUCACACAGGCAUUGAUGCCGUUAACCUCUUUGUGAAGCAGCAUGGACAAAAGAUUUUGAAGACCCCACGCACACAAUUGACCUGCAUGGGGGAUACAAAUCCAGUGUUUUGCAGUGUGCAUGAUUUUGGUGUUUUGUGGAUGGUGAAGACUGUUUCCCAUCUGACACCCCAGAUAUGAGACAGGAAAUCCAUCAGAAGCAAAAAACACAAUGGGGAAAUGUGUCCAAAAGGGAUAAGGUUAAGUAGUGUUUCAAGCCCAAAGGGUAAAUGAUGGAUAAAAAGAGUUUAACAUAUUACUUCGGGAAACUACCCGAAUGAUUUGAAGUUACAGGAGUU
This is a long non-coding RNA of Gasterosteus aculeatus aculeatus (three-spined stickleback), 39375 nucleotides long. The record is from Ensembl. NCBI's taxonomy places the organism in Eukaryota, Metazoa, Chordata, Actinopteri, Perciformes, Gasterosteidae.